GAUGAACGCUGGCGGCGUGCCUAAUACAUGCAAGUCGAGCGAACAGACGAGGAGCUUGCUCCUCUGACGUUAGCGGCGGACGGGUGAGUAACACGUGGAUAACCUACCUAUAAGACUGGGAUAACUUCGGGAAACCGGAGCUAAUACCGGAUAAUAUAUUGAACCGCAUGGUUCAAUAGUGAAAGACGGUUUUGCUGUCACUUAUAGAUGGAUCCGCGCCGCAUUAGCUAGUUGGUAAGGUAACGGCUUACCAAGGCGACGAUGCGUAGCCGACCUGAGAGGGUGAUCGGCCACACUGGAACUGAGACACGGUCCAGACUCCUAAGGGAGGCAGCAGUAGGGAAUCUUCCGCAAUGGGCGAAAGCCUGACGGAGCAACGCCGCGGGAGUGAUGAAGGUCUUCGGAUCGUAAAACUCUGUUAUUAGGGAAGAACAAAUGUGUAAGUAACUAUGCACGUCUUGACGGUACCUAAUCAGAAAGCCACGGCUAACUACGUG
This 497-nucleotide ribosomal RNA is filed under the name uncultured bacterium. RNAcentral describes it as "partial 16S ribosomal RNA". It matches the Rfam family "Bacterial small subunit ribosomal RNA", at positions 28 to 507 of the family's 1533-position model. The record is from RNAcentral.